AUACAGUGCUGCUUGAAAGUUUGUGAACUAGUUGUGUAGUUUAGAUUUUUCUUAUUUUUAACCAUGAUUUUCUUAUUUUCUCAUUACCAGUUUUUGUAUAUGAAAUGUCAGGUUUAUGUUCAUCGAUUCCAUUUGCUUGUUUUGAGGGAAAUGUAUGAAUUGCAAGCAGACUAAAUGAAACAUGGAAUCAGAGCAUCUGCAAAAGUAAAUGGACCACAGCUGCACUGGUAAAGACAAUCCGGUAAAAGACUCAGGUGAAACACAUGUGAGUGCUCAAGCAAUCAACUAAGCAGACCAAUCAAAUGAGACAUCCUUGGGAAAAGUUUUGAGGUGCACUGGUUAAAUGGGAGAGGAAACCAACCAAACCACUGUUGUGUCAAGGCAUAAAGACCAGAUCAACAAUGCCGAGAGGAAAGGUGACAUCUGAGGACAUCAGAAAGAAGGUGGUAACAGGCCAUCAGUCUGGGGAAAGCUAUAAGACCAUCUCCAAAAGAUUCCAGCUUCAUCCAUCCACUGUGAGACAAAUCAUUUACAAGUGGAGGGCACUAGGCAUCACCGCAACUCUGCCCAGAAGUGGACGGCCGCAAAACUCACACAAAGAAGAACCAGAAAAAUAAUAAUGCAGGUAAAGGCCAACCCACGCAUCACCUCCAGAGAGUUGCAGACCUCUCUGUCAGCAUCUGGGAUAAAUGUACAUGCGUCUACAAUCAGGCGAAAUAUCAAUAGACAUAGCAUUCAUGGGAGAGUUGCUAGAAGGAAGCCUCUGCUUUCAAAAAAGAACAAAGCCGCCCAUUUAAACUUUGCCAGAGAGCACUUGGACAAACCAGAGGCUUUCUGGAAGUCCAUUCUCUGGACGGAUGAGUGCAAAAUUGAAUUAUUUGGCCAUAAUCACAGGCGCCAUGUUUGGAGAAAAGUAAACACUGCAUUUAAAGAAAAGAACGUCCUCCCAACAGUGAAGCAUGGUGGUGGAUAUGUGAAAGUCUGGGCCUGCUUUUCUGCCUCUGGACCUGGACGUCUCCAUAUAAUCCAGGGAACCAUCAAUUCCCAGGAUUAUCAACAAAUUCUUGACCAGAAUCUCCUGCCAACAGUCAAGGAGUUGAUGCUGGGACGGAAAUGGAUUAUGCAACAAGACAACGACCCAAAGCAUUCCAGCAAAAGUACCAAAGAUUGGCUUAAGAGAAAGGAGAUUCACACUCUGGAUUGGCCCAGUCAAAGUCCGGAUCGCAAUCCCAUAGAAAUGCUGUGCCAAGAUCUGAAACGAGCAGUACAUGCCAGAUGUCCCUCCAACCUCACUCAACUGCCAGAGUUCUGCAAGGAGGAGUGGACAAAAAUCCCAUAAAGCAGAUGUGAGACACUUGUUUGUGGUUACAGAAGAUGUUUAGUUGAAGUAAUGGCUGCAAAAGGAGGUGCUACAAGGUACUAACUGAAAGAGUUCACAUACUUUUGCACUUGGCAGAUUUUCAUUUUUUUGACAGAUAAAAUACUUUUGUUGAAUAAAUAAUGAAAACAUGUAUCCUUUUUUCUUUGUUUCCCUUAUUUGGAAGGUUUGCUUUACAAUUUGAGAUUUGGAUGUUCAUUUCACAUGAUUAUUAUAAUUCUUCUUUAGAAAAUAAUGACCAUGUUCAGGUGGUUCACAAACUUUCAAGCAGCACUGUAGGUCUCUUAUUUGUUUUAAACCCCUAUCAUACCAAACUGAAAAUGAUGGGUCAGAAAGAGAUGGAGGAAACAAAUGGUUGUUAGUCAAGGGGCAUAAAGAUGAGGCACCAACAAACUUAAAACGCUUUCUAAAUUGAAACCAGAUUUUCAGUGUAUUAAGAACAACUUGAUUAUUAGUGAAUAAAGAGGGUUUUAUAGGUAAUGAAGAAAAAAUUAGACCAGACAAUGAAGACCCAGCACCCGAAGAUAGUUCCAAUUUGCACCAAGGAGAACUGGACGAUUUUAACCAAUAACUAAUUUUUUGUAUGUGCGCAGACCAAUAAUAUGAUUGAAAAUCAGGCAAUGAAAGUCCACCACUGAGUUUACAUUUUUGCAAUAAUGUUUUACGAACUUGAGGAGGUUUCCUAUUCCAAAUAAACCCACCAAUCAACCUAUCCAAAGAAUCAAAAAAGACUUUUGGCAUAAAAAGAGGAAUAGACUGAAAUAGAAAAAGAAAUGUAGGUAAGACAUUCAUCUUGACAACAUUAAUCCUUCCCAAAAGGGAGAGAGGAAGAUUACGCCAACUCUGGAAAUCAGACGCAGUCUUUGUAAUAAGAGGCGAAAAGUUAGCAGAAGCAAGGCCAGAUGAAGAACGUGUCACAUUUAUACCAAGAUAUUUAAAUCCUGAGAUUGAGUUUGAAUGGAAAGUCAGAGUGUUGAAUAUCACAGGCAGUAGUGUUUAUGGGAAAGCAUUCACUCUUUUCACAAUUCAAUUUGUAGCCUGAAAAGGAGCUGAAAUUAUUUAAGAUAUGCAAGACAGUGGGGACAGAGGUAGCGGGAUUAGAUCCAUAAAGCAACAGAUCAUCUGCAUAUAAGGACAAUUUAUAUUCUGUCCCAUUCCGAAAAAUCCCUCUAAAUGAGGGGGAAGCGUGCAAUGCGAUAGACAAAGGCUAAAUUGCAAUAAUAAAGAGCAAAGGCGACAACGGACAGCCUUGACGUGUACCACGCCCAAGAGAGAAAUAAUCUGAGUAUAUAUCAUUAGUAUGGACACUGGCUUUGGGAGAUGCAUAAAGGAGACGAAUCCAAGAAACAAAUGUAUCACCGAAUCCGAACUUCUUCAAAACCACAAACAAGUAUUCCCAUUCCACCCUGUCAAAUGCUUUUUCAGCGUCCAGGGAAAU
Molecule: long non-coding RNA, 2816 nt
Organism: Xiphophorus couchianus (Monterrey platyfish)
Lineage: Eukaryota; Metazoa; Chordata; Actinopteri; Cyprinodontiformes; Poeciliidae
Exons: 2
Source: RefSeq, a predicted model, not a curated record